GACGAACGCUGGCGGCGUGCUUAACACCUGCCAGUCGAACGGAAAGGCCCUGCUUUUCUGUGAUGCUCGAGUGGCGAUCGGGUGAGUAACACGUGAGUAACCUGCCCUUUCCUUUGGGAUAACUUCAGGAAACUCGGGCUAAUACCGGAUCGGAGCUCCUGCUGCAUGGUGGGGGUUGGAAAGUUUCGGCGGUUGGGGAUGGACUCGCGGCUUAUGAGCUUUUUGGUGGGGUAGUGGCUUACCAAGGCUUUGGCGGGUAGCCGGCCUGAGAGGGUGACCGGACACAUUGGGACUGAGAUACAGCCCAGAGUCCGACGGGAUGAAGCAGUGGGGAAUAUUGCACAAUGGGCGGAAGCCUGAUGCAGCAACGCCGCGUGCGGGAUGACGGCCUUCGGGUUGUAAACCGCUUUCGCCUGUGACGAAGCGUGAGUGACGGUAAUGGGUAAAGAAGCACCGGCUAACUACGUG
This 468-nucleotide ribosomal RNA is filed under the name uncultured bacterium. RNAcentral's name for it is "partial 16S ribosomal RNA". It matches the Rfam family "Bacterial small subunit ribosomal RNA", at positions 28 to 507 of the family's 1533-position model. The record is from RNAcentral.